UUUCCGUAGGUGAACCUGCGGAAGGAUCAUUAACGAGUUAGGGUCUUCCAGGCCCGACCUCCCAACCCUAUGUUUAUUGAACCUCUGUUGCUUCGGCGGACCCGUCUCACGACCGCCGGAGGACCGCCGCGAGGCGUCCUCUGGCCAGCGUCCGCCGAUGGCCAACCACUUAAACUCUGAAUGAAUCGUGUCAUUAUGUCUAAGUCCAUGAUUAAAUUAAAGCAAAACUUUCAACAACGGAUCUCUUGGUUCUG
Molecule: unclassified non-coding RNA, 254 nt
Filed under: plant metagenome
Description: partial contains small subunit ribosomal RNA, internal transcribed spacer 1, and 5.8S ribosomal RNA
Source: RNAcentral